Molecule: transfer RNA, 21 nt
Filed under: Poecilia picta (swamp guppy)
Lineage: Eukaryota; Metazoa; Chordata; Actinopteri; Cyprinodontiformes; Poeciliidae
Description: Micropoecilia picta (swamp guppy) partial tRNA-Glu
Source: RNAcentral
UAUUCAACUACAAGAACCCUA